This 493-nucleotide ribosomal RNA is filed under the name uncultured bacterium. Its description in RNAcentral is "partial 16S ribosomal RNA". It matches the Rfam family "Bacterial small subunit ribosomal RNA", at positions 29 to 523 of the family's 1533-position model. The record is from RNAcentral.
AUUGAACGCUGGCGGCAUGCUUUACACAUGCAAGUCGAACGGUAACAGGUUAAGCUGACGAGUGGCGAACGGGUGAGUAAUGCAUCGGAACGUGCCCGAUCGUGGGGGAUAACGCAGCGAAAGCUGCGCUAAUACCGCAUACGAUCUGAGGAUGAAAGCGGGGGACCGUAAGGCCUCGCGCGAUCGGAGCGGCCGAUGUCAGAUUAGGUAGUUGGUGGGGUAAAGGCUCACCAAGCCAACGAUCUGUAGCUGGUCUGAGAGGACGACCAGCCGCACUGGGACUGAGACACGGCCCAGACUCCUACGGGAGGCAGCAGUGGGGAAUUUUGGACAAAGGGCGAAAGCCUGAUCCAGCAAUGCCGCGUGCAGGAAGAAGGCCUUCGGGUUGUAAACUGCUUUUGUACGGAGCGAAAAGGUCCCCUCUAAUACAGGGGGCUCAUGACGGUACCGUAAGAAUAAGCACCGGCUAACUACGUGCCAGCCGCCGCAGUAA